AACCUGCCCCAUAGUCUGGGAUACCACUUGGAAACAGGUGCUAAUACCGGAUAAGAAAGCAGAUCGCAUGAUCAGCUUUUAAAAGGCGGCGUAAGCUGUCGCUAUGGGAUGGCCACGCGGUGCAUUAGCUAGUUGGUAAGGUAAAGGCUUACCAAGGCGAUGAUGCAUAGCCGAGUUGAGAGACUGAUCGGCCACAUUGGGACUGAGACACGGCCCAA
RNAcentral lists this ribosomal RNA (218 nucleotides) under uncultured Lactobacillaceae bacterium. RNAcentral's name for it is "partial 16S ribosomal RNA". It matches the Rfam family "Bacterial small subunit ribosomal RNA", at positions 123 to 334 of the family's 1533-position model. The record is from RNAcentral. Lineage: Bacteria; Bacillati; Bacillota; Bacilli; Lactobacillales; Lactobacillaceae.